Unclassified non-coding RNA from Bombyx mandarina (wild silkworm), 3356 nucleotides. Lineage: Eukaryota; Metazoa; Arthropoda; Insecta; Lepidoptera; Bombycidae. The record is from RefSeq and is a predicted model, not a curated record.
GCUGCCUUGUUGUUGGCGACUGUUAGGUGCUUGUUUAGAAAUUAGUGUUUAUUUCGUUCAGUUUGUGUGUGUUUUGUUAAUAUAGAAUACAGUGAUGCGCGGAUAAUAAUUUAAAAUUUAAUGUCUUGAAUCGAAGAUUCACCAACGGGAGAGCAUUUUAACAUCACUCCCAACUUAUUUAGUAAUAGUUGAGACCCAGCCAAGAUGUCAAAGAUGUGGCCUGCGUCCCAAUAUUCUCACACAAACACCCAGCCUAUAAAGGCUACGAAUGAACACCAGAACCAGCAAAAUCUGAAGACCUUGGGCAUGACCUCUGCAAUUUCUACAGCAGGGCCUAAACCAAUUGAUAUAGAAAAAACGAAUGAUCUUAAAGUUUCUCUCACACCCUUUGGAGUUUUUGAGUCUGAAGCAGAGAUGCACCAUAGGAUGGAAGUUCUCGGUGCUUUACAUCGUCUGGUGAGGCAAUGGAUAAGAGAUGAGUCUUUAAGAAAAAACAUGCCGCCUAGCGUCGCUGAUACUGUCGGUGGAAAUAUUUAUACUUUUGGAUCUUAUAGACUAGGGGUUCAUCAUCGCGGUGCCGAUAUAGACGCAUUGUGCGUUGCGCCUCGUCAUAUAGAAAGAUGCGACUAUUUCUUAACGUUUUAUGACCUUUUAAAGCAACAACCACAGGUUAAAGAUUUGCGAGCCGUUGAAGAUGCUUUCGUGCCUGUUAUCAAAAUGAAUUUUGACGGAAUUGAAAUUGACUUACUUUUUGCCAGAUUAGCCCUCAAGGAAAUACCUGAUUCCUUUGAUUUGAGAGACGAUAUGCUGCUUAAGAAUCUAGAUCAGAAAUGCGUACGUUCACUGAAUGGAUGUCGCGUUACCGACGAAAUUCUACGUCUCGUACCUAACAUAAACAACUUCCGACUGACGCUCAGAGCUAUUAAACUGUGGGCCAAACGUCACGGCAUUUACUCAAACACCCUGGGAUACCUGGGUGGUGUAUCCUGGGCCAUGCUAGUUGCCCGAACCUGUCAAUUGUAUCCAAACGCAUUGCCUGCCACUCUAGUCCACAAGUUCUUCUUGGUGUUCAGCCAGUGGAAGUGGCCCCAACCGGUCUUGCUAAAACAGCCCGAUCAUGUCAAUCUAGGUUUUCCUGUUUGGGAUCCAAGGGUGAACGUAGCCGACAGAUACCACCUAAUGCCCAUCAUCACGCCCGCAUACCCUCAGCAGAACUCCACAUUUAACGUUUCAGCUUCAACUAGAACAAUCAUCAUGGAAGAGUUUAGACUUGGGCUUGCAGUGACCGACGAGAUAAUGCUCGGCAAAUGCGGCUGGGAGCGUCUAUUCGAGGCGCCGAAUUUCUUUUCCCGCUACAAACACUUCAUAGUGCUGUUGGCUUCCUCCGCUAGCGCCGACGAUCAGCUGCAGUGGUGCGGACUCAUUGAAAGCAAGAUACGUCAUCUUAUCGCUACACUGGAACGCAAUCAACAUAUAACGAUAGCUCACGUUAACCCGGAGUGCUAUAACUCAGUGCCGCUGAACACCAAUAAUGGGCAACCGUUAGCCUUACCACCCGGGUCAACCAUACCCCGCGAGACAUCGCCAGAGUUGAACAAAAAUGACAAAGGCGAAGUGGUGGUGAAUCAUUGUUCGAUGUGGUUCAUUGGAUUGGUAUUCGAGAAGACAAAUGUAAACGUCGAUCUGACUUACGAUAUCUCUUCGUUCACCAAGGCUGUGCUAUACCAGGCUGAAAAUACGAAUAUGCUGCGAGAGGGACUCACUAUUGAGGCUCGUCACGUCCGUCGCAAGCAGCUGCACCAGUAUCUGUCGGCCUCGCUGCUGUGCCGCCGCGAGCGCACCGCCUCCGGGAACAAAAGGAAACCCGACGGUGCUCUCACACACCCGCCCAAGAAGAGUAAACGACUGUCCGAAAGUAGCACGGACGAAGUCAGCAUCUUAUCAUACAAUGACGACUCGAACUCUUCAAACCUCUGCGAAGUAAACAUCCAGAACGGUUCUGCUAAUGGGACGGCGGAGACUCCGAAGGCCGACGCCUCUACAUCUAGUACUAUAGCGUGCACAUAGCAUUACGAAGCCUGGCGCCAGCGGUUCAUUUACGGCACCGAUACCGUCAAGACGAACAAACUGAGGCGCUUCUAAUUGAUAAAGGACAUUACAAACAUGAGUGGUACAGUGAUAUUAAAACUAAUAAGUGAUGUGAUCGUGGUCUUAGGUAACGAAGCAAUAAUGUGUUUUGUGAUUAUCGGAAUGGAAUCUUUGGUGAUUCUCAGGUAUCCGGUGGGACGGAUUCCGGCGCCAAGUAAGUUUGGUUCCUUCAAUUUUAUAGAAUAGUGUCUUUUGCAAGAGUAAUAUUAUUUAGUGCUUUGUUGUGUUUAGUCCAAAUGGUACUUAACCAUUAUCAAAUUUACUAUUUUUAUUGACUACUUUGUGUGAAAUGUGUCUGGAUUAUGUCGAGUUUCAGGCAGUGCUAGUGAAGGCUAUGAUAAAAAACAAACGCUAUUUACAUUUUUGUGUCUCUUUGACACGGCUCCUUACUCAACACAAGACACAAUAAAACAAUUUUGUUUUGUUACACAAAUUGGGAAUGUGAUUAGAUUAAUUUUUUUCCUGAAUUUGAUGGAAUUCAACACCAUUAUCACACAUAAGUCAGUCUAUAAAUUCAAUGAAGGAUUUAUACACGAGUAUACUCUUGCGAAAGACAGUAAAGUACAAAGUGGAAGAAAUAAUCUAUUUUUGUUUUCUAUUUUACGAUAUUCCAUCGAAUAGCGUUUGCUCGACAACUCAAUUUGAAAAGAUGUAAAUAUAUUAUGUAGAAAUGUUUUUUGAAAAAUUCAUGUAGGUGUUUGAUCAUUGAGAAUUUGCAAAUUUUACUUGUCGGACCACGUAAUUUUUAUGAUGAAUGUUGAUACAGACGAGAAAUACUUUGACAGAAAUAACUAGGCAGUCUUUGUUCCAAAAAGAUUUUCAACUAAAACAUAUAAUUAAAACCGUUGAAACAUUGUACUGUGGAGGUCAUUGUGAAAUUUGAUAACAUUUAUAGGACGCACAUCAUUUUUAAAACAUAUUGCUUAUACAUUUUGGUUGUACUACAAUCUGUUGCACUUGAUGCUGAGGACGUUGUAGUCUCCUUGCUCUUACUUUCAGCAGUUGCCAGCUUUUAGUUGGUGGAUUUCCCUUCUAACAUUGUUUCUUUGUCCUAUGUUUGUCGAUGGGGUGAUUCAAUCUAGUAAGCUUUGUAGUUCAUUUGCACAGGCAGUGCAGAUGUAGAUGAACACUGAGUCAUGAUAACAAAAUGUUUAUUACAUAUAAAUAAUAAGUAUAUUCUACAACAUGUUAAUUUAUAUGAAUAACAU